AAGUUGUUUGUUUCAUAUUUAACGUCAGUAGGCUUUCUAAAGUUUUAUUGUUUUUUGAGGCAGGGUGUUGCCUAGUUCAGGCUAGCGCUGGAUUUGGUGUGUGAGCCUCAGUUGGCCUCCAACUCUCAGUCAUCCUCUUCCCCCAGCCCGCUGAGUGCCGGGAGUAUAGGAGUGCACGCCAGCUUUUUAGGAUUUUAAAAGAGUGAGCAUGCUUUUGUAAAAGCAAAAAAGGAUCUGAAGUCUUCAAGGGAACCAUGCUUGGCAUAACAGGAUGACCUGGUACCCUCCAUACCGGGCAUACCGUUGGGAGGCUAAACCGCAAGGCUCGUGUAGACUCUGACAGAGGCUGACAGUCUGCGCUGGUCCAAUCCAAUUAGACCAUUGUGCUUCAGAGUGACUGUGCCUGCUUAGAAGUGGAAGCUCCGUCAGAGCCUGCGGUCGGACUUCAUUUAGCAUCACAGCCCUGGGAGCAAGAAGCUACCCGGCUGGUGCUUUCAAAGGUACUACAAAAAUUAUUGUCAAUCUGUUUGUACUGUGGAAAAGAUGAAAAGACACAAACACAAGAGCUGUGCAAAUGGGCCGCCGUGAAACAGAAAUUCAGUCCCUCGGCGGCCCCUCCUUUGUUCCGUUCUCCACUUCAAGUUCCUGUUCUGCUUGGGCUUUGGGAAUUGAGUUCCCCGUCAAGGAAGCAGGACCAAGACCCACGGAGAUCAUCUAGGAAUAAAGAAAACAGAAAUUAUGAGUGGAAGAUCCCAAGUCCACAUUUUUUGGGGUGCUCCGGUUUGUCCCCUGAAAAUGACAGGGUUCCAGGGAGCAGCUUCUUUAACGUCCACGGCUGACCGCUGGGAGAAGAUGCACCUGCUGUGUGAUGGGCGCGCUUUGGCUGUGCCGGAGGAAAGCCACCCGCCCGGGACUCUGAAGGAGCAUGGUGGCCCUAAGGGGGCGGGCGCUCCGGGUCCUGGGAGCUCUGUUCAGAGGAGGCCCGGCUUUCUGCAUUCUGCUUCUGAAACACAGCACGGAGAAGCCCAGAAGGGUCUCUCCUCAGGCCUGAGUGCUGUGCCCUGCUCUAGUGUGCAAAUCAGGGGACCAAAGGACGGAGCCCAGCGUUCCCCUAAUGAAAGGGAACAUCAACAGCUUCAGUGUGAAAGUAACAUCACAGGAGGACGGCCUGAAAAUGGGUCAGACACCCGGGAUCAAAAUGUUCAGGCGGAGUCCUGUCACUUAGGCCUCAGAUGUGCAGCUGGGCCGGAUGUGGCCUCUAGCGCUGGACACAGCAGUCCAGGACCUGCAGCUGUAGAGACAAAGUGUGUGCCGGCAGAAUUCCGGGAAGAGCAGAGCCCGCACCCGGAAUCGCUCUCCUCUGCUGCGCUGGAGGAGCCGGGGCCUGCGGGAGCUGGGAGGAGGGCCGGGAUCUCGGCGGACACUGAAUUUCUCAGCGUCAUGACCUGCAGCCAGCUCGCUUUCUUAGCUCAAAGGCAGGCGCAAAGGCAGAAGUGCAGAAAUGCAGGGUCUGUGAGCGUGGAGGCUGCACCAAGGGCAGGGCCUGCGGAGGGAGGGAUGGCCGAGGAUAGUCUGGUUCAGCCUAAUGGAGAGUUUGCAGAAGGAGAUGAAAGUGCACAAGCCCAAGCACAUUCCCUGGAACUUUUCAGUCCUGCCCGCUCUGAAACAGAGAGUAGCCACAUCCGUGGGGACCCUGGAAAAGGUCUGAAAGGAGGCGCAGGGUCUCAAGAACUGUUCGAUUGCGAAGAGGGGCUGGCGGCAAGUGAGAUACGGAUUGAGUUGUGUAGCUCAGGGAUUCUGUGCUCCCAGCCAGACGCCAUCCGCAGAACUCCUGCGGGGAGGAGCACGCCCUCCACCCCUAACUCAGGCCUCUCUGAGGCUCUCCCUGAAGUCACCCCCAUCUCUCAGAAAAUGAAACCGUGUUCCAAGGCAAGAGAUUCUGCCAGAGCAGAGUGCCAGAGGGUCAUGCCUGAAUUUAAGGGUAUUAAAAAACCGUCCUUAAUCAAACGUUGUGAUUCUAGAAGCCACAAGUAUAAUUGCCUAGUUAUGGUGCUGACUCCAUGCCACGUAAAAGAGGUAAACGUAAAAUCUGGACCAAAUGCUGGCUCCACAGUGCCCCUAGCAACAGUUACAGUCGUCGACCAAUCUGAAAUGAAGAAGCAGGUGGUGCUGUGGCGGACCACGGCGUUCUGGGCACUCACUGUGUUUCCCGGAGACAUCGUUUUCCUCACAGAUGUUACCGUCCGUGAGGAUCCGUGGGUUGGUGACACAGUGCUGCAAUCAACGUUUACCAGUCAGUUGUUAAAUCUUGGGAAUUACUCUUCUGUCCUGCCUGAAGAAUAUUCCAGUAUAGUUAGCACUGCUGUGCUUCGGGACCUGCUGGCGUACGUGUCUUCAAAGCAUUCCUAUCUCAGGGGCCUUCCGCAGAGGUGGCCUCGCAGGGGGAGCAGGACCGAGUUCGCAGAGCUGGCGCGGCUGCAGCCUGAUACCUUAGUGCACGCUGUGCUGAGAGUUGUGGAUGUCGCUGUACUGACAGAGGCGCUGUACACUUACAGAGGACAGAAGCAAAGGAAAGUUGUAUUAACGGUGGAACAGGCCCAAGGUCAGCAUUACGUGCUUGUGCUCUGGGGUCCUGGAGCAGCGUGGUGCCCUCAGCUUCAAAGGAAGACCGGUUCUAUUUGGGAAUUUAAAUAUCUUUAUGUCCAGCGCAAUUGCUUACUGGAGAGCUUGGAACUGCACACCACGCCCUGGUCCUCCUGUGAGUGCCUGUUUGAUGAUGAUAUCAGAGCAGUUGCAUUUAAGUCAAAAUUCCAAGAACGUGCACCCUCCUUCACGAGAACGUCAGACCUAGCAACACACCUAACGGAGAAGUGCUCAGGAGUGGUUCUGAUUGAAGCCCGGAUCGUGGAGCUGGUGCUCCCCGUCGGGGCGGCUCAGGAGGUCCGCCUGAAUGCUCACAGCUCCCUGGAGCACAUCCUCUCCUGGCUCCCCAGCAUGACCUACGCUGGCUGUGCAGGCUGUGGGGCCGAGCUGCACACGGAUGAGAACAAGAUCUACAGGCAGUGUCUGCGCUGCCUGCCGCUUUCUGGGAAGAAAACCUACUACAGGCCAGCUUUCAUGACCGUGGUUGACAGAAGCCAUGUGGCUCGCAUCCAUGUAGGCUCCGCACUGAUGGAGAAGAUUCUCCUACACAUCGCCCCGGACUGGCUGGGCAGAGCCUGCCCACCUCCGAGGUCACCUACGGGAUGGUGGCCGCGGACCUGCUGCACUCCCUGCUGGCGGACGGUGCCGAGCCCUCCGUGCUGACACUGGAGAGUCGCUUUGUGCUGGAUGAGAACAGCUGCCCGCUGCAGCAGGACCUCUCCCUCCUGGACUUCCACCCACCUGGUGGGGCCCUGCCUGAGUCACGCCCCAAAGUGGUUGCUGACCGGCCCGGCUGCGCUCUGAAAUAACCGAGUUAUGCCUGUGUGGAAGUGUACUUGUGCACACAUACACACGUGCACACAUAUGCAAGUGCACACACAUACAGAUGCACACACAGACGCGAGGCCGGCAGUUAUACAGGAGUGGGCCUGAGAGACCGCGACCCUGCCAAGACAUGGAAACACAGAAGCUUUAUAACCUGCAUCUCUUGAGGGCCACAAAUCAAGUCCGACCAGAAACCACGCAGAACUGGCUCCCAUAGCACGAGACUGAAGUGAGAAACGACUUCCCGGAGCCCUGGGGUGGUGGCCCUGCUGCGCCUCAGUCCUGAAAGGUAGCCGUGAUGCCCCCAGCACGUGCCUGUCACCCGUUAGCUCCAGACAGCCGAGGGAGCUGCAGAAGGUGUCUGCGCAGAGCCGAGGUCCCUGCGCAACAGUGCUGAGCCUUCUGUGGCCAGCACGUAGAGGAGGAGCAGAGAGCCAAGGAGGCAGAGACUGAGUGGAUGGGAUCCUGUGGACUCCCUGCUGCGUCUCGGGAUGACCAGGUCUUCCCCAGGGCCUUUCCCUCAGUAAAGCAGGUUAACUUACAAGUGUCCCGUUGCCAGCAGCCCAUGGAGGAGACCUCCCUGAUGCCUGCCUACUUCCUAGGUCACCCUGCCCAAAUGUGACCAAAACAGGACACGGGCGGGCUUACUGUCCCAGGGCUCAAAGGACUCCUGGUCCCCAGAGUUUGUCCUUGCAGUGAGGAGGCGCCAGUCGUCCCUCAGCCCCAUCAUCACCAUCAGUGGGACAGAGUCUCGGGUGACCCUGGAUGUCGCAGGGCAUCAGGCACUGUCAGCAUGUGUGCAGACCACCAGGAUCCUCCAGGCUCUACACCAGGAAGCAACUUCGUGCUUUCUCAGGAGUAACAGACCACUGUUGGCUGUGGAACCCUGGGUGUGACUUGACGGCUGAGCCUGCGUGAGCCCCUAAAGAGAAAAUCAUCAAAUCCCCUUUCCUGGGAGCAGGAACAACAGCAGGCCUAUGAUGGGUUGAAGUCCCCUCCUCAAAGCCCCUUCAGUACAGGUGUGACGUCAGCAUCCUUAGCCGGGCCUUAGGGCCUGUUCAAAGGACUGUAGGACAUUUAUCAAGGCAGUGGACGCCAGUCACCCAGGGAUAGCCUGGAUGCAUCAGGCUGCUUCUGUUCAUUUAUAGCAGCUCAAGCCCAGGCCAGUGCACUCUGCACUAAACAUUUCCCACAGGUAUACAAGAAUGUGCAUUGCAGGCAUGGCCACCAGUGCCCCGAGUCUCAUGGCUGUUAUGGUUUGUGUCUGGAUGUCCCCCCAAAGCAUCAUGGAGCGUGGGCUUUUCCCGAGGUGAUAGAAUCUAGAAUUAGUGAUUGAUUCGUGCCCCAAUGCUGGGAUUAAGGAUAGGGCAGGUAGCUUGCAUAUGAUACAAGGACAGAAAGCAUCUUGUCCCUGGCUUGUUGCUUUUGCUGUCUUCUUCCUCCUGUGCUGCCGGCCACCUUGCCUGUGUAGCCAGCCAAUUAUGGGCUGAAACCUCUACAAUCUGUGAGUUAAAUCAACCUUUCCCCUUUUAACUUUGGGUGUUGGGUAUUUUGUCUCAGCAGCCAGAGAAAAGUAACUAAGACAAAGGCCUCUCCAGCAGGCUGGUACCUCCAGGGAGGGCUUGCAUGGUCAAUGAACUCUCCGUCUCUUCUCCAGCAGCUAGCAACGUCCUAGGAACUGUCAGUCAGAUCCACCAUUCCUGAGUUAAACCUGGAAGGAGGAGCCUGUCCAGGGACCCCACACUCCUGGGAAAGCCAGCCUCUCAGAGGAAAAUACAGACUUCAGUUAAAUACCAGAGGUGUUCUCCUAAUCUGAGCCUUUAUUGUAAUUACCCUCCUGCUCAACUGUGCUGCAGGGCACAGGGCUCACCUGCUGGCACCUCUCAGAUGCCCAGCUGCUUAGGGGAGCUCAGUUGCCAUGCCCCUGUUUAACUAUAUUCCAGGUGGGCUUUUGUCCCGCAUCUGCUUGGCGGGACUUUAAACGAGUCCGGGCUGUUCCAGAUCCCAACCCCAGCUUUGGGGAGAUGCCAUGGACUUGCUUUUCUGGCUCAGCCUGGUGCAAAGGGCUCAUAACCGCUGCAGGCUUGGCUCCAGUUUGAAUUGUUUGUAACGAACCUUCUCUUGGACUUCGCUCUUCCCGUUAAUAGUCGGUCCAUCUUUAGAUGGUCCUGCGCUCUUCUGACCUGACCAGCUGCACCGAUGCCUUGGCCAGCCAUGCGAGUCUGCAAGGGUAGGGACGCCCAGCCCCAGCCUGCAGCACUGUUGGAGAAGGAGCCACCAUGACGAAGCGCCCCAGUACCCUAAUGAUUUCAGGGUCUAAAGUGUUGGAGGAGAAUGGCAGGCAGGCAUGGAGACAUUAGCAGGCCUGAGGACCCCUGGGGAGUCCAAAAUAGCACACGGUUACGUUCAGUAAAGCAACAGAGAGCUCAGUGUAUGAUCCGUCAUCAUUUGUUAGGUCUCAGACCUCAAACAGUGCCACAGGGGUCGGUGACAUUUUAAGUCACACAGUGUGCACGGUCCCUCUGUCGUCUUUUCCUAGAGCAAGAUGCAGCAUUUCUGGGUGCCCUGGCCUACGUCCAAUGAUACAGGAAAGAGGUGCCUUUGUUAAAGACCCGCCCUUCUGGCACUGAGACCUGAUUCAGAGAGAACACUGGCCCUCUGAAAAGAACUCGGAAGUUGUUUCUGAGAUGGCGACUUUCCAAAGUUACCCCUGAGAGAAAUGUUGACAGGCAUAUACAUCGGGCAAUGAAACAGUCAUCAGAGUCACCCGGCCCCCAGGAACGAGUCUGUACAUAAAAAGCACCCACACGUCCACUUGGUGUACUGUUCACCUCACUGCUUGAAGGUACAACUUUAUGUCCGCUUUACAGUAAACUCCACCUGGACCUCCUCAUGGUCACCUGUGCUCUGGCCUGAGAUAUUUCACCAAAGGCACAAAGAGCCAAGGGCCAAGCGGCAGGGACUGGCUUCUUGUUGCAUUAGGGCUCUGUUUCCAAGGGACCAAAGCACACUUUUCUGUGCAGAGUCUGGAGCUUUCCCCCAGGAGCUCAGAAGGAUGCAACAGCGGAGAGCAGGUGAAUCCCUUUGAUGGAGUUUCUCCACGGGGAAGGGUAAGGGAUGCAGCAAAUGAUUUUUGGCUCCUAACUGCUCAGGUGGGGAGACACAGCUUCCUGGUUCCUGCCUGGGGAGAUGAAUUCAUACAGAACAACUGGCUCCUCGAGCUGGAUGCUGAUGGCUCCCAAGCCCCACUGUUCAGACUCGGGCGUGAGCCCCGCCCGCGGCACAAGCCUCCAGUGAGGGGUCCUCAGUGUGUCCUUCCCGUGUCUCAGGUGGCCAAAUCCCUUGGCCAGCCGGAACAUAAUGCCUCAAGACAGCCCUCGCCUUCGAAGCAGACAUCUUUGUUUCCAGUGCGACAACCCUGGGUCCCCUCCACAUUCUGUCACAUCCCUCAGGACAGGUUCCACAUUGGCCAGUAGGUUUCCAGGAACCCCACGUCAGGGAACCUGUUCCUCUUUGGAGGCCUCUGGUUUGUCCCCGGACUGAGGCGAGGGAGCCGAGGUCUGAUUCAUAUGUAGGGACUUAGUGCCCAGGGGCGGUGUGGCCUGGACAUCUGAUAGGUGACUGGGGGCCUGUGGAGCCCCCUGGGCGGGACUGGUGUCCUCAGGGAAGGGUCUGUGGUGCCCUCUCCCCUUCCAGCGUGAAGGCACCCUCGGUGAAGCCAGAACAAGCCUUCUCCAGACACCGCAGCCGCCUCCCUGGCUCUGGGGCUGCCCGGCCUGGGACUGUGCCUAAGACACUCCGAAGGUUUCCAACUUCCAGAGGCUGAAGGGCAUGGGCACGGUGACUUCCCGGUCACUCUCUGCCUGCGUCUCCAGCCUCCUCCCAGCUUCUUUUCUGUUUCCAUUGCUUCCUCCUCUCCACCCCCGACUCUCACCCUUUUUGGGGACAGGGUCUCACUAUAUAGUUCUGGCUAGUCUUGAACUCACAGCAAUCCUCCUGCCUCAGCCUCCCAAGUGCUGGGGUUACAGGCUUGCACCACCACACCUGGCUUCCCUCCCCUGCUUUUCUCCUCCUCUUUCUCCUCCCCUGACCUUUAUUCUCCCUCCCUCCUCCCCCUCCUCCCUCUGUGUCUCUUCCUCUAUCCCCUUCCCAAGUUCCCCACCUAUCCUCAUAGAGAACAUACAGAGGGAAUCUCCAAACUUUCUUUGCAGAAAGAGAGUUUGGGUUUGCUUGUGUCCACCUAGGAAGUUCCACAGAAGGACUGCCUGCAUCCACUCAGGCUACCUGCCGUCCCCUGGGUUCAGCAUGACUUUUAACAGUUGACCAUGGCUGUUCCAUGGUCUUCAUAGAAGAAAAUACUGAUUUCUCCAAACAGCUAGAAUGGCGCAGAGAACCCUUCACUAUGUCUUUGAUCUCUGAAGACACAUUUCUAUCCUGGUGGGUUUCCAAAUCACAAGAUCACAACGCUUGGGAGGACAGAAUAAAGGGCCUUGUCUUGCCUGGUAGUUUAAUGCUGGCCCUGUUUGAAUGGUGACAGGAAGAGAAACGUGAGGGGGGUGAGGUCUGACAGCCUUAGUGCUGGCUUGGAGGUCUUGAACCUGAGGAUGAAUUCUCCAGUGCGUUCGGCAGGGAGGCGCCUCACUCCUCUUGGCCAAGCCUGAUUUGGGGUACACGUGGUUCUCCUUAUGAGGUCAGGCUGCCACCUAGUGCCUUCCACCCCCUCGACCCCCUCCCGCCAUCACCACAGCCCCACAGCACCAGCCUGUUGGGAUCACUUUUACACUGAGUACAGGGAGUGUGUUGGCAGCAUCUCCGAACGUGACCUGGCCGGACAGCUCACACAUGUGUCCAGCGUGUGUCACACUGCGAUCAUUCUGUCUGGCAGAAUCUUGCUCAUAUGGUAUAGCUGUUACCCUACAUGGAGAAUUAGGGCCUGGGUUUUAUUUGGUUCUGAUUAACAUGGAUUCAUGGUGCAUGCUAAGGGGAUUUGUUGCAAUAUUUCAACUGAAAAAUUAAAUGUAUUUAGCACUAUCCAGCCUGGACCAGCCAAAUCCAGCCUCCCCGUGUGUUUUCAUCAUCAUUUUGUUUGGCUGUGCUGGAGAUUAAACCCUAGGCAAAUGCCCUAUCACUGAGCAAUAUCCCAAUAUUAAAAAUGUAUUUUUGAUUUUUUUAGACAACGUUUUGCUAUGCAAUUCAGGCUGGCCUCAAACUCCCCAUGUAGCCCAGGAUGGCCUUGAACUCACAGCAGUCCUCCUGCCUCAGCCUCCCGAGUGCUGGGAUUACAAGUGUGAGCCACCAUGCCCGGCUAGUGAUAGCACACUUGUCUGGCAUGUGCAAGGCCCUGGGUUCGAUACCCAGCACUUAAAAAAAUUACCUAUGAAAAGAUCAGUUUUGAUGAAAUAUGGAGCGAAACGGUUUCGAACACAGAACCUAAGGCCGCACAGCGCGGCUUUUGGGCGGCAGCCCCGCUCACCCUGAUGUCCCCCUCAGGACCUCCCGCCUUUCUGUCUGCUUGGAUUUCGUAGCAGACCCUGAUUACGCCAGACUCAAACAAUCCAUCAGAUUAUUUUGCCUGGAAUUAAACAGAAACCGAAUUUGAACAUAUACACAGUGACGCCGAGGCCGGAUAGCGGCAGCUUGCUGAGCUUUGACAGACACAGGGGUUUAUGAGACCAGCGGUCCAGCCCGCUCAAUGGCCCCAGCUAGUUCCGGGUGGGCAGAUCUGCCCAGUCCCUGCGGAUAGUGAUUAGGCGGUCUUUCCACUGAGCAUGUGCACAUCUCUAGGUACGAGUCUGAUGCAUGGCGCACGUGAGUAGGUGUGCCAUGCACCAGAAGAAAUCUCGCCAUUGAAGGCAGGGAGUAGGGUCCUGGGAAACACGGCGGGCAGCCUCACAGCUCCGUCCAUCCCCGGCCACCAGGCCGGCCAGGUGUCCGCAGGAGCCACCAGGGCCUUGUUUCCUCGGCGAGGCCGACGCUGGACGGUAGAGGGCGCUGCGCUCCUUCCCGCGCCCUUCCCGGGGCUACCUGGCGGCCCGCUCCUCCCCCGCACCCUCCUGCUGGGGACUCCGGGCGCCCCCACUCCUGCUGUGCCGCCCCCGCAGUGUGGCAAUCAGCAAACAGAUGCGAGUAGAUCGGCACCUUGAGACCACUAUGGUAAGUGAAAGAAACUCAAAAGUCUAGUACAUGAGAAACCCAAAGUAUAAAUCGUUUAAAAACAUAGCAUAAGCAAUAAGAAAUGGAGACAGAUCUUUUGCAGGGAGAGAAAGAGAGUUAAGGCCUAAAGUGCCCACUUCAGAAUGUAAACACUGCUGCAAACAGGUACUGGUAAUUUUUUAGUCUUUUUUUUUUUUUUUUUUUUUUACCAGUAUCAGCUAUUGAACUCACGACCUGUGCUUGCAAGGCAGGUGCUUAUGCCGCUGAGCUAAAUCCCCAGCCCGAUAAUUUUUUUAAACGGUAGAGACAGAUUGCCCCUCCCUCUGUGGAGAACAAGCGAUUUGCAGGAAAGAGGUGGGGAAGGGCCAGAGCGGAGGGAACAGACUGCAGUUGGAGGGCACCUGGGGCCCUUGGAGACCCCACCUGACAGGCUGUGUCCGCAGGUCUUCACCGUGAGGGCAUAUGUGGACAUCAGGAGUGUGAUUCCAAUCCCAGCUGCCCCUGCCAGCAUCUUGGAGACCAGCCUGAACUACACAGGGAGCCCCUGCCUGGAGAAACCAAACCUGCUCUCUGUGCAUAAAAUCUAGGGCAAGUUCUGGGGCUUUUCUUGGUUCUGAAGUGGGUUCGUGAACAAUAUAGGAAUCCAAGCAGCCAAGCUGAUGAAUUUGGAAUUUUAUUAGCUGAGCUCAGGACCACUUGCAUAGAGACCCCUGUUUCAGAGUCCCACUGAGUGGCCCUGAACUGGAAAGUUACAGAGCAUUUAAAACAGAAAACCACAGAAAGACAUCCUGUUGGAAACAAUUUAGCUGGGAACCUACAUUAAUUUUGGCUGACACCUGUAUCCUGCUGCUUUGUUGAGCAGAUUAAUUUUUCUCUUGUGGGUGCUGCUCAUUCUGAUUUUCUCAUGGGACUUGUACCCUGAGUAAUUUCUCUUUUGGGUCAAAUGCAGGACACAAGAUGGCAUCAGUUAUGCCAAGCUACAACAAUCCGUAACUGCUUUGAUCACUGUUAGAUAACAAAAGGUUUCUCCUGUGACUCGUUCAAAACAGGCUCUGUUCAGCCCUCACAGUUGUCAGUCAUAAGCAGUCACCUGUGUGUCUGCUUCAGUCCGUGUGGCCUACUCCUCUCCCCAGCUGGCCUGGCCACAGCCCUGACGGAAGGAUGCCAGGCCCUGCUUCCAUUCCCCGGGUUGGAGGAUAAAGGGAGUGGUGGGGGCUCUAGGUGAACCUGGUGUGAACCUUCCGCCUCCUGUACUGUGGCUGUCUUCUAUACUGCACUGGCCCGGUGACCUUGGUUUGUCCCUGCCAUGUGUGUCCGGGUACACAGCACCAUCCCGCCCCCUGAGAAGAGUUUUAUUACCUUUUGUUUAUCUCCCUUUUGUGAUGGGAAUGGGGUGGAACCCCGAGGCCCUGCAUACCAGGCGCUGCUGAGUGCCACAUCUGUGGUCUCCCCAGACUCAUGAGCAGAGACCCCGUGCUCGGGUGAGGCCAGAGAUCAGCCAGAUGGUGCAACUGUCAUUUCUUCCUUUACCUCUGAUAAUUACGGCUGCCAGGUUGCUCCGGUUUUUUACAGUGAUUGGGAUGAGGAAUUCUACAAUGAAAAUAAGGGAAAAAAUAUACCUGGCCCAUGGCCGCAUCAAUGGCAGCCUGGCAUCGUUACAGGAUUGGCAGCAGGGCCGACUGCGCCUGCACAGCGGGGGUAGGGGAUUCCCUUGGUGACACCCAGGCACAGCCUGGCCUCGUGUUCCUGUCCUCGGGGAACAUCAGGAUGGUGGGUGGAAUUCCACCGCUCCAGUUCCGCACCCCUGCCUGCAGCCGAGUCCAUAUGACGCGGCCUGCCAGCUCCUCUCACAAAAAGACGCAGUUCACUUCUUCGCCUUUGCUUGCAGGUUGGCUCUGUGACUUCCUCUGGCUAAUGAACAUCGGGCGCCAUGACACAAGCAGAGCCAGACAUGCGUUUGCUUGUCGAGGUUCACCUGCUUGUGCUCCUGCCUUUGCCAUGAACAGAGCUCUCCCUGGGCGGCUGCUGUGCUCAGAAUGAACAGGCAAGGAGCAGGCUGUUAGGAGCCCAGCCUGACUCAGCUUGGGAUCCGGUUACCUGCCUUAGCUCAACCAAGCCAGCCGUGGGUGCAGGAGGCAUGAAUGUGCUGCUGUGUGUGGAGCGUUUGUGAUGGUUUGUUAUGCACCAUCGCUAUCCAAAUAGCUGACUGACACAGCACCUUUUACCCCUUUGGCUUCGCCAACCUUCCCAAGAACAGUGUGGCUGAUUCCUUGUACAAACUGCCCUCCACUGAGAAUUAUUUGGGUGGGGAAAGAAUUCUUUUCCUGCGGAGAUCGAAUAAGCUACAGACAGCCUUUCCUUCAAGUCAUCCGGGAGCUGCCCAGUUGAAAGCCCUGGAAGGGCCACGGCCUCAGAAGAAGGAGAGCCAGGCAGGGAGGAGACUUUCUGCAGGAAAGUCGCUAGUUCCCUCCAGGAACCUCUCUAGUUCUGGCUAAGAGCCUAGCACUUCUGCUAGACAGCAGAGGCAGCAGUGUCUCCCGACCUGGGGAGAUCAGAACCUGGAGACUGAGGUUGCCCUGGAGGGGCCUUGAAACAGCAAAGAUGUCAGAGAAGAGGGGGACAGGGGUUCCCCUGAGAAGUAUUUGCAGGAUUACUAAAAUAAUCCAGAGUUUGGGGCCCACAGCGGGAGAGAAGGCUGGUGAAUACACUGGGCUCCCAGCUGGGAUCCUUGCAGGGCUGAACUCCAGGAGCAGGGGCAAGCCAGAGGCAGAGAGCGCCCAGACUCUGGUGAGUUCAGUGCAGACUGCACUCAGAGGACCUCUGCACUCCAUCCGCAAGAGGACGUGGUGAGCCGUCCCAUAGGAAGACACUCUGCUGACGUCCUCGAUGGAGGCCCCAAGAUGGGUCAUGCUCAUGAGCACUGGACCAUGAAUGCUCAAGCAAGCCAGGAAAGACAGAAUGAAAACGCACACACAAUAAUGACCCAGAUGGUGAUGUUAUCAGACACAGACCUGGUGGGAAAAAACACAAUGCUUUUGUUAGAGAGCUGGGAGUCAUCAGAAAGAGUCACAUGGAAAGUUAGAACCCGCAGACGUAGUGACUGAAGUUAAGAAUUCAGUGCGUGAGUUAAGUACACUUAGCACAAGAAGGAUUUAUUGAGCUGUUAACCUGGGACGUGAAACAACUCCAGGCUACAGCACAGAGACAGCGUGUGGAAAAUACAGAAAGAACCCAAGAGACUUGGGGACAGUGAGCAGCUCGGAGGUACAGGAACUGGAGUCUGAGAAGAGGACGGAAGGGUAAGGAACAGUUAAACAGCGCCGAGGCGGACACAGCGAAGAUCAGGCUGUGUGUGCUGUCCAACACUGAUGAAGCUCCAUGUCCCCCACGCAGGAUAAAUAGGAAGUAAAGUCCAUCCAGGGCCCUCCAUACUCAGACUGAUGGACACCAAGGGUGAAAUGAAGCCCUUGAGGGCAGUUACAGGUGAGCAGGAGACACAGGUUCUCCUAGCACUGACCACAGCACUGACCAUGGCCUGCUAACAGAAGACAGAAGAUACCGGAUGCCACUUUGUUUUUUUGGGCUCACUGAGACAAGGUUCCGCUGUGCAGUUCAGGCCGGCCUUGAGCUCACUGUGUAGCCCAGGCUGGUCUCGAACUCGCAACGAUCCUCCUGCCUCAGCCUCCCGAGUGCUGGGAUUACAGGCAUGAACCACCAUGCCCAGCCUCCGGAUGCCACUUUUAAACGGCUGAAAAGAUGACCCAAAA
This is an RNA transcript of Cavia porcellus (domestic guinea pig), 13388 nucleotides long. It is a transcript of the gene named shieldin complex subunit 2, with no coding region annotated. The transcript has 14 exons. The record is from RefSeq and is a predicted model, not a curated record. NCBI's taxonomy places the organism in Eukaryota, Metazoa, Chordata, Mammalia, Rodentia, Caviidae.